Molecule: ribosomal RNA, 330 nt
Filed under: Triticum aestivum (bread wheat)
Lineage: Eukaryota; Viridiplantae; Streptophyta; Magnoliopsida; Poales; Poaceae
Description: partial small subunit ribosomal RNA
Source: RNAcentral
AUGUCUAACCUGAUGGCCGCCGGCUUUUGGGUGGCUGUAGGGGCGGCGGCGAUACUCGGGAAGCACAGGUCGCCGGCAAGAAUUCAGCAGGAACGGCUUCUAGACCGGGACCUAGAAUCAAAGAAGAAGGAACUGCAUGAACUAAUCCGUGGGCCAAGGACAGACAUGGGGCAGGGACGAUCCUCGAGAAGCAGAGGUCGUCGACCCAGUAAUCUGGAACGGAUUAAGCUGCAGGCAGAUUUGAAGUUGAAACAGUUAUUUGAACAACUUCGCCAAGCAGAGGCCAACCGGGUGCUCAAGGAACCGGCAACUCACUGGCCGUUCGAUUAA